UCGAGCGAGCGGAACUAACAGAUUUACUUCGGUAAUGACGUUAGGAAAGCGAGCGGCGGAUGGGUGAGUAACACGUGGGGAAUCUGCCCCAUAGUCUGGGAUACCACUUGGAAACAGGUGCUAAUACCGGAUAAGAAAGCAGAUCGCAUGAUCAGCUUUUAAAAGGCGGCGUAAGCUGUCGCUAUGGGAUGGCCCCGCGGUGCAUUAGCUAGUUGGUAAGGUAAAGGCUUACCAAGGCGAUGAUGCAUAGCCGAGUUGAGAGACUGAUCGGCCACAUUGGGACUGAGACACGGCCCAAACUCCUACGGGAGGCAGCAGUAGGGAAUCUUCCACAAUGGACGCAAGUCUGAUGGAGCAACGCCGCGUGAGUGAAGAAGGUUUUCGGAUCGUAAAGCUCUGUUGUUGGUGAAGAAGGAUAGAGGUAGUAACUGGCCUUUAUUUGACGGUAAUCAACCAGAAAGUCACGGCUAACUACGUGCCAGCAGCCGCGGUAAUACGUAGGUGGCAAGCGUUGUCCGGAUUUAUUGGGCGUAAAGCGAGCGCAGGCGGAAGAAUAAGUCUGAUGUGAAAGCCCUCGGCUUAACCGAGGAACUGCAUCGGAAACUGUUUUUCUUGAGUGCAGAAGAGGAGAGUGGAACUCCAUGUGUAGCGGUGGAAUGCGUAGAUAUAUGGAAGAACACCAGUGGCGAAGGCGGCUCUCUGGUCUGCAACUGACGCUGAGGCUCGAAAGCAUGGGUAGCGAACAGGAUUAGAUACCCUGGUAGUCCAUGCCGUANACGAUGAGUGCUAAGUGUUGGGAGGUUUCCGCCUCUCAGUGCUGCAGCUAACGCAUUAAGCACUCCGCCUGGGGAGUA
This 854-nucleotide ribosomal RNA is filed under the name uncultured bacterium. RNAcentral describes it as "bacterial SSU rRNA". It matches the Rfam family "Bacterial small subunit ribosomal RNA", at positions 62 to 882 of the family's 1533-position model. The record is from RNAcentral.